This 228-nucleotide ribosomal RNA is filed under the name uncultured bacterium. Its description in RNAcentral is "partial 16S ribosomal RNA". It matches the Rfam family "Bacterial small subunit ribosomal RNA", at positions 122 to 334 of the family's 1533-position model. The record is from RNAcentral.
CAACCUGCCCUUCAGAGGGGGACAACAGUUGGAAACGACUGCUAAUACCGCAUACGAUCCAAUCUCGGCAUCGAGACUGGAUGAAAGGUGGCCUCUAUUUAUAAGCUAUCACUGAAGGAGGGGAUUGCGUCUGAUUAGCUAGUUGGAGGGGUAACGGCCCACCAAGGCGACGAUCGGUAGCCGGACUGAGAGGUUGAACGGCCACAUUGGGACUGAGACACGGCCCAG